This is a long non-coding RNA of Seriola aureovittata, 1185 nucleotides long. RefSeq lists it as uncharacterized. NCBI's taxonomy places the organism in Eukaryota, Metazoa, Chordata, Actinopteri, Carangiformes, Carangidae. The transcript has 3 exons. The record is from RefSeq and is a predicted model, not a curated record.
CCUGAGAUCAGUGGCAGUUGGGAACCUUUUCAUUCGUGACGUACGUACGUCACUCAACACGCGCGUUGCGAGUAUGCUAGCGGCUAGAAGCUAUCUGGCUGUUGCAGCUAGUAGCUUUAUAGUUGUAUUCAUUUAGCGUCACUAAGCUGGGAAAUUGUAUCAUGGACAAAUGUAUUUUCAAACUCCCUCGGACGGAAGAAGAGAUGACGCUGGCUUGAAUAUCCGGUUUAGAUGGAGACAACUUUUUGCUACGCCUGAUGACCUUUUUGGGUGGCACCGUUUCCUUUACAAAUGGAUAUAAGAAUUGGAAAAACGCAACCGGGAGUACGGUACACAAGUUCGCCAUGGAGGUUUGAUCUGCACUUAAACCGGCAGCGACAGAUGGUUCGAGAUUGGGAAAUAUGAUGGAUGUGGGUCAUUCAAAAGUCGUGGAGGAAAACGGUGUGAAUCAUGGCGGGACACCCCAAAAGGAGACAGGCACAGUCCCCUCGAUUUCUACAAGAGUUUGUUGUCGAGGCCCCAACUGAGCGCACACCUGUAACAUCCACAGACGUGCCCCGCACACAUCGUUUCUACCCAAUAACUGACAGACUUGUAGGUGAAACAAGAAAACCUGACAGCAGAGCUACACCAAGUUCAGGUCUGUCGGAAAAAGGAAGAAACUACAGGGACAUAUAAUAAAGGACACGGUGGGGUCUUGCGACCUAGCCGGGAUGCUUAUAUGGAUUUAUACAGACUGACCCUGCGUGUGACCCCUGCUUCCUGCUAUUGCAGUUUGUCCUGCCUUUUUCCUGCGCAUUAGAAACUGUCCACGGAACAGUAGCUUGGACCUGUUGGGCAUCAACAAACAAAGGACAAAGUCUUCGGAUGUCCAGCGCAUCAUUGACACCAACACCCGGCGGAUUGUACUCCUUUGAAAACCUCAUCGGUGGUCACUCAUGGCUUCGUGCUUUGUGUUGGUAUCCAUGUUCCUUUCACCGCCGGUAGUCGAAGCUGCCGCCGUUUGUUUUUCUGAGGAACGUGAUGCGACCCAAUCAGGGAGCGAUUGAGGGUGUCUACGUCCACAGGUCUCCGUUUACACCCGUCCAGACUACAGCGCAACCCUGGAGUUAUGCUAAAUGCAGGAUAGUUUACGGUUUAAAGAGAGCGACACCGGUGGGCGGCGGAGGUACUGCAAGUGGGCCG